AUUGAACGCUGGCGGUAUGCUUUACACAUGCAAGUCGAACGGUAACAGGCCUUCGGGUGCUGACGAGUGGCGAACGGGUGAGUAAUGCAUCGGAACGUGCCCAGAGGUGGGGGAUAACGCAGCGAAAGCUGUGCUAAUACCGCAUGUGAUCUGAGGAUGAAAGCGGGGGACCAAGCAGCAAUGUUUGGCCUCGCGCCUCUGGAGCGGCCGAUGUCAGAUUAGGUAGUUGGUGGGGUAAAGGCCUACCAAGCCGACGAUCUGUAGCUGGUCUGAGAGGACGACCAGCCACACUGGGACUGAGACACGGCCCAGACUCCUACGGGAGGCAGCAGUGGGGAAUUUUGGACAAUGGGCGCAAGCCUGAUCCAGCAAUGCCGCGUGCGGGAAGAAGGCCUUCGGGUUGUAAACCGCUUUUGUACGGAACGAAAAGGCUCUGGCUAAUACCUGGGGCUGAUGACGGUACCGUAAGAAUAAGCACCGGCUAACUACGUG
Molecule: ribosomal RNA, 492 nt
Filed under: uncultured bacterium
Lineage: Bacteria
Description: partial 16S ribosomal RNA
Rfam family: Bacterial small subunit ribosomal RNA
Source: RNAcentral